Long non-coding RNA from Hemicordylus capensis (graceful crag lizard), 450 nucleotides. RefSeq lists it as uncharacterized. Lineage: Eukaryota; Metazoa; Chordata; Lepidosauria; Squamata; Cordylidae. The transcript has 3 exons. The record is from RefSeq and is a predicted model, not a curated record.
CCGCCACAAGCUGUAGUGGGUCAUCGGGGCUGAGUUCCCACCCGUUGGUGGGCCAUUUGCCUCCUGUCCCACAUCACCGUCUGUCCUCUCCUCCUCAGCACGCCCCACAGCCUCACUCCUGGAGGAGUUUGCAGGAAACAAUUGCAUUAUGACAGGAAAGUGAUGCCACUAGUUAUUUCCCAGCAAGCUGAGAAAGGCAAAUUCUGCUCAUCCCAAUGGCUAUAAAAGAGGACUUGCUGGAUCAGUGUUUUGUAGUGACUGCAGUCGCAUCUGAAGGAAAAGGGUAUCUGCAAGCUAGUGCCGAAAUUCAUAUAUUCUGCUCAGAUGCUGAUCUUAUAACACCUGUUUAAGAAGCAUAUACUUUUCACUGCUGAGAUGCACAUGCAAGAAGUUCCUGGAACGCAGACAAGGAAGAGCAGCAGCACCAAAAACGACACACCUGUAUUCUUU